GAGGGUAUAGCUCAGUGGUAGAGUGCAUAUCUAGCAUGCAUAAGGUCUUGGGUUCGAUACUCAGUGCCUCCA
This 72-nucleotide transfer RNA is filed under the name Camelus bactrianus (Bactrian camel). It matches the Rfam family "tRNA". From Rfam's summary of the family: Transfer RNA (tRNA) molecules are approximately 80 nucleotides in length. Their secondary structure includes four short double-helical elements and three loops (D, anti-codon, and T loops). Further hydrogen bonds mediate the characteristic L-shaped molecular structure. tRNAs have two regions of fundamental functional importance: the anti-codon, which is responsible for specific mRNA codon recognition, and the 3' end, to which the tRNAs corresponding amino acid is attached (by aminoacyl-tRNA synthetases). tRNAs cope with the degeneracy of the genetic code in two manners: having more than one tRNA (with a specific anti-codon) for a particular amino acid; and 'wobble' base-pairing, i.e. permitting non-standard base-pairing at the 3rd anti-codon position. Lineage: Eukaryota; Metazoa; Chordata; Mammalia; Artiodactyla; Camelidae. The record is from Rfam by way of RNAcentral. RNAcentral also lists the same sequence under 1 other name.